AAGGCGGUUUUGUAUAAACGCCAUAAUGUUCAUGAAUUAAGGCAGUUUAUAUCACUGCCAUAAUGUAUUUGUAAGUCAAGGACGUACGUUUCUAGUGAUUUUGGCAGUAAUAACCGUUGUUAGAAAAAACCCAACCUAAACCUAAUUGCGAGUCGAAGAGUAGAGCGUGAGCAACAAGCUUCUCCUCCAGUGGCUUCUUCUCCUCCAUUGAUGCGAGCUUCUCUUCUAUUCUUGUGAGUUUCUCUGCCAUUGAUGCCAUAUUCUCCUCUAUCGAGCUUCUACGCUCUAUGUUGUGAGAGCUUCUUACCCUAACUCGUCUUCUCCGUGUCCGUUCUCACUUCUAGAAUUCGAAAACUACAUCGCCACUGCUCUGCGAGCUUCUCCUCCAUCAAUGAUUCUUCCCCUCCAUCGGUGUCAUGUCCAUCAAUGCUUCUCCUCUGAUGGUACAUUUGCUUCCAUUGAUGCGAUUUGCGAGGUUUUGAUUUUCCUCCUUGUUCAAUUUAUUUUUAGGUAAAAAAUUGGGGAUUAAUUAUAAUCAUGUGAAUACUUGUUUUCUCCUGGUAUGACGUGCACUGUGAACUGCAUAGAUGUUCUUCAUGUUUUCUGUUUGCAGAAAAAGCUUUUAAGGAAUUUACUUGAGUUAUACUUUUUUAAUUUUGAAAGCGUGGAGUGUCAGAGUCUCAACCAAAUUAUUUGAAAUCCUAUUAACAUUCUAACAUGGUAUGUGCAAUUAUUUAUAUAAAUUCUUGAAAUCUAGCUUGUUCAACUUGUUCGUUAUAGCAAAUUUGUAAUCACUAUAGUCGAAGAGUUGUAACAUACACAAUGAACUGGGAGCAGUCAAUUGCUUUAGUUUAUUAUUUGUUAAAUCUGUGUGUUCAAAUUCAUAGAAAGUGGUCACCAAACACAACCUCUAACAUCAUAUUUGCCUUCACCAUGUUUUCCUUUCUUCAUGAAACCCAAAUUUGACGUCGCUAAUAGAAUGCUUCUCUUAAUGUUAGUACAUGGCUAGACCUCAUUGGAUGCCUCUAAUAUAUACAGUGUUUUUGUUUUAUGACAGGGGCUAAUUAUCUCUUUGAUGCUUGAUUUGAUAUUCAUUCAACCUGUUAACGUUAUAUUUUGGAAAUAGACAUUAUGAAUUUUAGAUUGUAUGAAGUAGUUAGUGUUCCAUUGACAUUUUCUUUUAAAUUGAUCAUCUUGUGUUACUUUUUGCAGGGAUCUUGAUAACUCUAAUCUAUCUAGACAUUUGGUAUCUAAACUUGGGAAGCUUAAAUAUUUUAUAAUAUCUAUAUACUAUAUAUACUAUGGUUAAAAUUUUGGUACGGUGAUGUGGGUUUUCUAAUGUCAAAUGUGCACAUAUAGCUAUAUUCAUUGUAUUUUUCUACUUCAAUAAAUACAUAGUUAUAUGCUCAUUGGAUUUUGGACUAAAAUUUCAUGGUUGCUUUCAUGUUUGUCUCAUAAUAGGUCAAUCUUCACAUCCACCAGUUGAAGAUAUGUGACUUUGGAAGUGCUAAAAUUUUGAGAUAACAAAUGCACAGCUAAGCUUGCAAU
Non-coding RNA from Arachis ipaensis, 1548 nucleotides. The record is from RefSeq and is a predicted model, not a curated record. NCBI's taxonomy places the organism in Eukaryota, Viridiplantae, Streptophyta, Magnoliopsida, Fabales, Fabaceae.